Long non-coding RNA from Ipomoea triloba (trilobed morning glory), 708 nucleotides. RefSeq lists it as uncharacterized. Lineage: Eukaryota; Viridiplantae; Streptophyta; Magnoliopsida; Solanales; Convolvulaceae. The record is from RefSeq and is a predicted model, not a curated record. The transcript has 2 exons.
AUUCCAAAGCUGUACCUAUUCAUGUAAAGAAACAAAAUGGAGAAGUAUAAUAGAAUGAAGAGAAAGUUAGCAGCAAACAACAUGCACUUUUAAGUUUCUGUGUAAUAGAAUGAAGAGAAAGUUAAUAUUAUAUACUUAUUGGUUUAUGUAUCUAAAAAUUUACCUCUGUUUUACUAACAAUAUUUUUUUAAGGACCUGUUGAUAUGCCCCUGAACAGGAGACAAAUUUGCUAAACUGAAAAAAAAAUAUAUAGAUGAAUGGUGAAAAAGAGCAAUGGAAGGGAAAUUGAAAGGUAUAUUGAGAGAUGGGCUUCAAACUCGAAAGCGCUGAGGGGAGAGAGCCGAAGGCGCCUAGGGAGGAGAACCGGAGAGGCUGUGAGAUAGAGAGAGACGAUGAGAGCAUCGAAGCAGAGCCAGACCCGCCGAAGGAAGUGAAGCCGAGACGCCGAGGCUGCGAAACAGAGAAAGACGAUGAGAGAAGAAGUCCGAGGCUGAGAGAGACGGCGACAGAGAAAAUGGGUAGGGUUAGGUUGUUCUGGGUGUGUCAUGUGUGUAUAUAUUAAAAUUUGUUUUAAAAAAUAGGAUAAAGAUUAUUAGUUUACAUUGAUUGAUUGAGAUUAAUAAUUAUUUAGUAAUAAUCUAUCUAUAUAUAAUAACAUUAUCCUCCUUCUAAAGUUUUCCGCCCAAAGUUAGUGGCAUUUUGGUAAAA